Long non-coding RNA from Astatotilapia calliptera (eastern happy), 2277 nucleotides. Lineage: Eukaryota; Metazoa; Chordata; Actinopteri; Cichliformes; Cichlidae. The record is from Ensembl.
CAUAAAAGCAGGACAAAGAUGAGCUGCUGCCAAGUAGUUCACUGCCUGGCAAGGACAAUAGGAUGUGAUAUGACUAAUCCACGGAUUCCAGGGAGGAAACGACACGCCGUGGAAAGCCUCUGAGGCUGUGAAUCCCACAGAAGAUCAGCGAUGUGGAGUCCACCCCUGAAGGAGAGACAGUCGUUUUACAAGCUGGGCACAUAUUCUAAUGCCCGUGUGACUGUCCUUUGGGACAGAUUGUCACUCUGACGGGAGUUCAUUGCGCAUUUGAGACGAGACGAAUGCUGACGGACUGGAAGAGAUGAGGACAACACAUCAUGUUCACUCAGUUGACACAGCUCCUUAAGCUGCUACAGCACAAAUAUGUGUAAAACAUAAAUCAGCUGUCCACAUCCUUUCAGUGUCAGUCGCCUUUAGCGCAACGAGAGGCGGCCGGCCUUGUGAAUUCCUGACAAUUAUAGCACCGGGGUGGGCCGCAACCCACCAUGAAAUCAGCCGUUCAGGAUGCCCGGACAAAAGAUGCCGGGGAGGUAAAGCCUAGAUCCUGUCCAGACAAUGCCCCGCUUCCCCCUGCUGCACCAAUCAAAACACAUGCCAUUAUAAGGCAGCCGGGCGAGGGCCUGCAGGCAAAGACGAGGAGAAAGGAGAGGGAAGGUGACAAAAACAAGAGAGAAAAGGAGGAGGAGGAAGAGGAGGAGGCAUGAAGACAACAUGGCAUCUAAUAAAGAGAUGUCUGUUUUCACCGCCUUCGCCACCUUUGUUUGGUCUUUUGUCCUGUUCUCGUACCCGUGGCUCUGCUGACUGCAUUGACUCUACUCUCCACUGCUCUUAAUAAAAGCCUUUAAGUGGAAUGGAGAGCCGUCCUGAGUGGCUGAUACUGCGCUCUGAUGAACUAAAGGGACUGGAGCUUGCUGGUUGGGAGCAGUGAACUCGGUCUUCCACUGGUGCUCUCUAACAGUGUCUCUAAUCCAUUUAGGUUGAGGGCUGGCAGAGGCUGAGGUCUGACAAAGCACAGCUCUGUCUCUGUGAUCCGGCCCACUGAGUCGUAAGUUUUUACAGAUGUGGAGCACAAAUGGGCAUGCAGUUAGCCCAGACUGGGAAGGCUGACUAACUGGACACAGGGUGCUAAAUCUGCUUCUCAACAACUUCCUGAUUAAUCUUUCACGUCUGCUUUCCGAACUGACCUACCCAAAGCACGGUGAACUCAGACAGCCGCGGCCUGCUGGGGCAGGCAGCCAAGCAUCUUAUCAGCCCCGAUGUUGUCUUUCUUGGUUUCAAUCCCAGUGCUUUCCAGAAGAAGAGGAGGGCCCGACGAAGAAUGCAAUUUCUUUUGACUCGCAUUUCCACUCGAGCAGUUGUCAUGCUCGUGCCUUCAAACAAACCACUGCAAAAUGUGGAAAAAUGUCUCCGAUCAGACGAGUCGCAGCAGCGGCGGCGCGGGUACGGCAGAAAUUAUGUGAGACACAUCAAAGCAGACGGGCUGAAGUUGUCUUUGAUGAUAGGCGGUUUAUCUAGAUUAUGUUAUGGCAGACGAAUACAAAAAAGAUUUACACAACAUACGCUGAAACAGAUGUUAGCAGUAUGAGUUACCAUGGGAGUGCCCCUUUCUUUCAUUUUCCAGUCAAGAAAAUAAGUUACAGGGGUGUCAUGGUGAAUGACCCCACCCCUGCAGUUUAGUGCUCGACUGAGUUCGAUUUUGCUUGAACAAGGCCAAAUUCAAACUUGGAAUGAGAACAGCAUCCUCUACUGUACUCCUGGUAAAUCGCACAGACACCGAGCUGCAGCAGCAUUUUUUUUCUUUUUUUACUUUAAGCUGUACCCAUGAACUAAGAAACACACCCACUACAGUUGGGUGUAAGUCAAAACCAAGAUGAGUGACUGUGACUGGGAAACACACACAAACACACAAAGUGGACAAGGACGUGCUAACUAGCUGAAUAAAAUGGGUGUAUGUUCGGCAGCACUUUCCCUGUGCUAUUUCCUGGCCACCUGUGUGCCAGCUAGCAUGAAUAGGAAAGUAUUGUGCUUCUCUAUUUUUUACCAUCUCCCACAGUACUCUUUCCUCCCACUCCUCCUCCUCUCAGAGCACUCCAGCACAGACUAGGUCAGACUCCAUUUGAGAAAAACUGUGACCCACGCUAGUCAUUUGGCCAAACAUUUCCAAUAAAAUGGUUGAAUCAUGUGUGGGCUGUCUUUUUUUUAAACUUUCAGUUCAGUCCAGUGUGCCUCAUAGCCCCAGCAUUUCAUGUGAACCAUAAAUAGUUGAAAUGUUAAGGA